AGCUCCAAAAGCGUAUAUUAAAGUUGUUGCAGUUAAAACGCUCGUAGUCGGAUUUCGGGGCGAGCCUGCCGGUCUGCCGAUGGGUAUGCACUGGCAGGGUCGUCCUUCCUUCCGGAGACUGUCCCUACUCUUAACUGAGCGGGGUCGGGAGACGGAUCGUUUACUUUGAAAAAAUCAGAGUGUUUCAAGCAGGCAGCUCGCUCUUGCAUGGAUUAGCAUGGGAUAAUGAAAUAGGACUUUGGUGCUAUUUUGUUGGUUUCGAACACCGAAGUAAUGAUUAACAGGGACAGUCAGGGGCACUCGUAUUCCGCCGAGAGAGGUGAAAUUCUCAGACCAGCGGAAGACGAACCACUGCGAAAGCAUUUGCCAGGGAUGUUUUCA
This 381-nucleotide ribosomal RNA is filed under the name uncultured eukaryote. Its description in RNAcentral is "SSU rRNA". It matches the Rfam family "Eukaryotic small subunit ribosomal RNA", at positions 587 to 972 of the family's 1831-position model. The record is from RNAcentral.